Molecule: transfer RNA, 71 nt
Organism: Ovis aries (sheep)
Lineage: Eukaryota; Metazoa; Chordata; Mammalia; Artiodactyla; Bovidae
Rfam family: tRNA
About the family: Transfer RNA (tRNA) molecules are approximately 80 nucleotides in length. Their secondary structure includes four short double-helical elements and three loops (D, anti-codon, and T loops).
Source: Rfam
UCCCUGGUGUCUCAGAGGUAAAGAAUCUGCCUGCAAUGCAGGAGCCACAGGUUCGAUCCCUGGGUCGGGAA